This 339-nucleotide ribosomal RNA is filed under the name Psychrobacter pacificensis. Its description in RNAcentral is "bacterial SSU rRNA". It matches the Rfam family "Bacterial small subunit ribosomal RNA", at positions 1 to 336 of the family's 1533-position model. The record is from RNAcentral. Lineage: Bacteria; Pseudomonadati; Pseudomonadota; Gammaproteobacteria; Moraxellales; Moraxellaceae.
UUAAACUGAAGAGUUUGAUCAUGGCUCAGAUUGAACGCUGGCGGCAGGCUUAACACAUGCAAGUCGAGCGGAAACGAUGAUAGCUUGCUAUCAGGCGUCGAGCGGCGGACGGGUGAGUAAUACUUAGGAAUCUACCUAGUAGUGGGGGAUAGCUCGGGGAAACUCGAAUUAAUACCGCAUACGUCCUACGGGAGAAAGCAGGGGAUCAUUAGACCUUGCGCUAUUAGAUGAGCCUAAGUCGGAUUAGCUAGAUGGUGGGGUAAAGGCCUACCAUGGCGACGAUCUGUAGCUGGUCUGAGAGGAUGAUCAGCCACACCGGGACUGAGACACGGCCCGGAC